Molecule: ribosomal RNA, 357 nt
Filed under: uncultured bacterium
Lineage: Bacteria
Description: bacterial SSU rRNA
Rfam family: Bacterial small subunit ribosomal RNA
Source: RNAcentral
CUAGCAGAGUACCGCUAGGGUUAGCGGCAGACGGGUGAGUAAUACUUGGGCAAUCUGCCCUUGAGUGGGAAACAACCGGCCGAAAGGCUGGCUAAUGUCCCAUAAGACCACGGGAUGGCAUCAUCCAGGGGUCAAAGGUCCGCAAGGGCCGCUUGAGGAGGAGCCUGAGUCCUAUCAUGGUAGUUGGUGAGGUAACGGCUCACCAAGCCUUUGACGGGUAGCCGGCCUGAAAGGGUGAUCGGCCACACUGGCACUGAGACACGGGCCAGACUCCUACGGGAGGCAGCAGUGGGGAAUUUUGGACAAUGGGGGCAACCCUGAUCCAGCGACGCCGCGUGAAGGAUGAAGGUCUUCGGA